AACGUAGGACGCAAGCGUUAUCCGGAGUUACUGGGCGUAAAGCGCGGGUAGGCGGCCCGAUGCGUCCGAUGUGAAAUCCCCCGGCUCAACCGGGAGAGGCCAUUGGAAACGGUCGGGCUGGAGGGCAGUAGAGGCAGGCGGAAUUCCGGGUGGAGUGGUGAAAUGCGUAGAGAUCCGGAGGAACACCAGAGGCGAAGGCGGCCUGCUGGGCUGCACCUGACGCUGAGCCGCGAAAGCCAGGGGAGCGAACGGG
RNAcentral lists this ribosomal RNA (253 nucleotides) under uncultured bacterium. Its description in RNAcentral is "partial 16S ribosomal RNA". It matches the Rfam family "Bacterial small subunit ribosomal RNA", at positions 524 to 776 of the family's 1533-position model. The record is from RNAcentral.